GAAAUUAUGACAUAAUCGGGGCCUGGAGCUAAUCCAGAGUUGCUUGCCAUGAGCUCUGUUCCCAUUCCCUGGAGUAAGGUUAGGCCUUGGGUGGCCCACCCAUGCUGCCAAAUAUGCAGGGCGGCAGCAACCCUCAUGGGCCCUUAAAGAUCAUAUGGGGCACGGCUGGAUUCUGCAGCCCUCUUGUAUAUCACAUGGGAACACUGCGGGGUGUGAGUGAUGGAACUGGGUCACACUGUGGCAACCCAGCACAGUCCAGAUUCAGAGCCAGGUUUGCAGUUCUCAGAGGCUGGGAAAGCAGGCCUCCAUCAAGCUAAACAGAGAUCUUUCCCAUUUUUUUUAAUAAAAGUUACUUCUUUUGCAAAUUUGUCCUCCUCACCUUAUGUAGGAAGAUGCUAUAGGAGUCUUUUAUUGUAAUAAGGUAGUCAAAGGCACAAGAAGUCGAACUGUGUAAAAAGAGUUUCGAAAAGUACAGGGAAGAGUGAAAUCAUGUGAUUCUCCACCAUUCCUCUAGACUCUGGAGUAGACGCGAUGCUACCUUGUGCCCUCUUUAGAGCUAAGGGCCCCUCCCCGGUAGAAUGUCAAAGGCAAGACCUUUGGAGCUGCGCCUCUAUGAGAGUCUAUUGUCCCAGUCCAUGGGCCUCGGACGCUUCUCCCCACCUCCCAUUUUCAAAGCCGCCCGGUAGGCGCCCGGUGUACGCGGUGCACCGGGAGUCUGCGCCUGUCACGCCGGCUCGGUCCCUGCCACAUGGUUCUCAAUUCGGCCCUCUGUCCAGUCCUGUCCUCAGGUUUCCUGGAUACUUAGUUCGUAAGGACAGUCGAGGUAUCUAUGAAUUUUCGCCUGUAUGCUCCGCUCACAUGGCGGACACGAACCGAUCCACUGCGCCUGGAUAGGCAGCCGCGUGGCGAGCGUGGUAGGCGCCUCCACCGCCCGCUCCAAGCUGCCCACCAGGAUUGUAGCAGGGCCCCAGCGCUCCGAACUGGCCCGGCGAUGUGCGCCCAUAGAAGUCCACCGCAGUCUCGACGCCGCCGCUGCUGCCACCCGCGGGGGGCGAAGCGGGCCCGGCCAACCGGCCAGUCGCUGCGAAGAGGGCCCCGCUGGCCCCUUGCGAGUACGUGCCGUCGGGGCCGGCAUAGGCGGCCGCAUAGGCGGAAGUGUUGGCGGGUCGGGCACCGGCGCAGCCGGCUGGCUGGUAAGCGGUGCUAGCGGCAGAGCCGCCGGCCGAGGCAAAGGAGCAGGAACCGGCGGGCCCAGAUGGCGCGGGGCCCAGUUCUGGGCUGAGCGGCCGCUCAGGCACCAGGCCGAAGACGCGGCACGGGCCUGGCGAAGCAGCCGGGUAGUAGACCGGGGGCGGCGCGGCGAGCGACGGUGCGGCAUAGCCUGCAUAGACCGCGCCAGGGUAAGGAGGGCGCGCAGCGGGCACCCCACCCGGGAAGAUGGCGGCGGCGGCGGCGGCCGCAGCGGCGGCGGCGGCGGCGGCCGCGUCCUGCAUGUAAGCCGGAGAGCUGAGAGGGUCCUCGCAGCUGGCACCGGGAGCUUCCCUGGCAAGGGCUCGCAGGAGGCUUGGCGCCCGCGGUUUCCGGACUGGCGGUCUGUGAACAGAGGCUUAAGUGUCCCGCCCACCGACGGCUCUGCUCGUGUUCUGGACCUCGAAGCCAGGCGCCGGCAGCGACGCUGGUACUGGAACUAG
RNAcentral lists this long non-coding RNA (1691 nucleotides) under Capra hircus (goat). RNAcentral describes it as "lncRNA (ENSCHIG00010005029.1)". Lineage: Eukaryota; Metazoa; Chordata; Mammalia; Artiodactyla; Bovidae. The record is from RNAcentral.